This 616-nucleotide ribosomal RNA is filed under the name bacterium PE03-7A2. Its description in RNAcentral is "bacterial SSU rRNA". It matches the Rfam family "Bacterial small subunit ribosomal RNA", at positions 255 to 881 of the family's 1533-position model. RNAcentral also lists the same sequence under 1 other name. The record is from RNAcentral.
GGGUGAUGGCCUACCAAGGCGACGACGGGUAGCCGGCCUGAGAGGGUGUCCGGCCACACUGGGACUGAGAUACGGCCCAGACUCCUACGGGAGGCAGCAGUGGGGAAUAUUGCACAAUGGGCGCAAGCCUGAUGCAGCGACGCCGCGUGAGGGAUGACGGCCUUCGGGUUGUAAACCUCUUUCAGUACCGACGAAGCGUGAGUGACGGUAGGUACAGAAGAAGCACCGGCCAACUACGUGCCAGCAGCCGCGGUAAUACGUAGGGUGCGAGCGUUGUCCGGAAUUACUGGGCGUAAAGAGCUCGUAGGUGGUUUGUCGCGUUGUUCGUGAAAACCUGAGGCUUAACCUUGGGCGUGCGGGCGAUACGGGCAGACUGGAGUACUGCAGGGGAGACUGGAAUUCCUGGUGUAGCGGUGGAAUGCGCAGAUAUCAGGAGGAACACCGGUGGCGAAGGCGGGUCUCUGGGCAGUAACUGACGCUGAGGAGCGAAAGCGUGGGGAGCGAACAGGAUUAGAUACCCUGGUAGUCCACGCCGUAAACGGUGGGUACUAGGUGUGGGUUUCCUUCCUUGGGAUCCGUGCCGUAGCUAACGCAUUAAGUACCCCGCCUGGGGAGU